GGUAGGUAUUCGGUAGUCGGUCAGGAGUUAACUAGGAAUUGCACCUUGAAACUGACAGUGGAAUUAUCGAUGAAUGAGAUAUUGUCACUGGAGAAGAUACACACAGUUAAAGUCAAGACGAAGGGUGAUGAUGGAUAUUAGAGUGAAGUGGUGCUGGUUCCGCUUGAUGUCGAGAAAGAAAGACCUGCAAAACAAGUUUUGCAGAAGGUGGCUCUGGCGAAGAUUCUUCGAUGUUCAAGUUAAUGAAUGGCUUAAGAAAAAAA
RNAcentral lists this long non-coding RNA (263 nucleotides) under Elaeis guineensis (African oil palm). RNAcentral describes it as "long non-coding RNA (EGUI_LNC025662)". The record is from RNAcentral. Lineage: Eukaryota; Viridiplantae; Streptophyta; Magnoliopsida; Arecales; Arecaceae.